GCAGAUAAACGAAUCUAAAAAUUGAGAUGACAAUCAUCCAUUAGUCAUUUAAUCAUUGUGGUUUCUGCUUAAAGUAAUCCAACAGAAAGAUGAAGGUUCUGCUGCUGUCAUUGGUUCUCGCACUGCUGUUGGCUGAUGGAUUUGCCUUGAAAUGUAAUAACUGUGUUCCCCGCUCUGGUGGACGUUGUUCGACCACCAGGCAGACUUGUGGUUAUAAUCAAGAUGCCUGUGUAUCUGCCAGUUUCUUAAUCGCUCCUUGUGAGUUUACACUCAUCUGCAUGCAAUGGAUUUUAAAAUAAACACACAUAUAUAUUUAUUUGUUAUCUUGUAUAUGUUUUUUAUGCUGGCUUGAUAAAGCGAACUGUUAUCAUACAUACAGUACUCAGACAGUUACAUUCUUUUUAACUUCAAUUUUUCAACUUGAAGGUCAUAUUUAUUAAAUGUGUCUGUUUGUUUGAAGAUGUGUAGACAUGCUCAAAAUAGAUAGCAAGGAUGACAAAAAAUCACUUUCAAAACAGACUUGUAAACCAAUACUUUUAGUUACAAGAGAUAGGCCCAUUUUGUUUCAGAUUGUUUUUUAUUUCUAUUUUUUCCUCUAGAUACCCAUUUCCGGAGGUGCAUUGCUAUGUCCGACUGCAUGAUUCUUCGGGCCAGCCCUCACAUAUCAGCCUCAUGCUGUCAGAGUGAUCUGUGCAAUUAAAUUCACAGGGCUCAACACUCAGAUUGCGUUUUUAAGAAGAAACAACUCAAAUGGGAAGUUUUUUUAAUGCCACUGAGCUGAUCAUUUAUUUACAUAAUCAAAAAUAAUGAUUUAUUUUGGAUGUUACACAACCUGCUAGAUUUGGAGUGAUUCUGAUGUACACUGUUUAUUUCUUUUAAUCAUUUAUAUGCAAAUUUACAUACUGUUCAAAAGUCUAGGGUCUGCUCGUUCUUCAUUUGUAUUUUUCCCCACAUUUUAGAUUAAUUAACCUCCCAAAACAAUACAAUUACAUAAAUGAAACUAAAGAAAAUAUAGACCUAAAACACCUUUAAAUAGAAGUAAAUGCCUAGAAUUAGCUCUUUAACAGUGUUGGAUUAAAUUGCAUCUAUUUUGAAAACAUGUUUAAAUAAAGAUUUUUAGAAACAAAUAUGUUGGCUCUUCACAUAACUAUUUCAAACAUUCACACAUAUGCCUUCAUAUCAGAGAUCAUGAAAGUCAAGCAGCCUGAAACUUUUUAGCAGUAGUGUAAAUGGAGUGUUUUGUCUUGUUUUUUAUUUUUGGUAAAAAAAAUGGCUUGUCAUAGCUCUAAGAAGCAUUUUCUACCAUGUUUGAAAUAAAAAUACAGCUAAUUUUGUUAGAUUCAGCCAUAAGGUCAUUGAUUAGUUUAAUUUACCAUGUGACCUGACAGAGCAUUUUUAAUGUAUUAUUGUUUUUUUAUAUAAACAACAUAUCACAUAACAAUUAAAUAAUAAAUAAUGACUGAAUCAAAUGA
Misgurnus anguillicaudatus (oriental weatherfish) is the source of this 1472-nucleotide non-coding RNA. NCBI's taxonomy places the organism in Eukaryota, Metazoa, Chordata, Actinopteri, Cypriniformes, Cobitidae. The record is from RefSeq and is a predicted model, not a curated record.